CUACAUAUCCACCGUUUGUAGUACAAUACUCUGUGUGAGUUGAACUACUCGUUUGAUCUUCUUGUGCCAGAUUGUUUUGAGAUUUGUUUGGCAUCAGCAACAGUGCAUUGUCAGUGGUUUCAGCUCCACUAGCGCCCGAAGGGGGUAAUCUCGACAAAGUUCCCCGAAGCCGUAUUGAUAUUGGCCGUCGGGCGUUCAACGUAUAGGGCUUAAACUUACCAUUUAAAUGGUCGUGAAGCCUAUCACGCGCAGAGUAAGAUCGAAAUGGAACCCGAUCAACGAGACCAAUGUUCUGUUGAUCAAGAAGUGCCCAACGCUUCAACAUUCUGCUAAGAUUGUCGUUUGAACCUUGUG
RNAcentral lists this small RNA (354 nucleotides) under Histoplasma ohiense. Its description in RNAcentral is "hypothetical lncRNA". The record is from RNAcentral. Lineage: Eukaryota; Fungi; Ascomycota; Eurotiomycetes; Onygenales; Ajellomycetaceae.